AAUUCUCAACCCUCUUCACUUUUUUGUGAAGCUAGGGCUUGGACUUGGAGGCUUUGCCGGCUCUGCUCGGCUCCUCUCAAAUGCAUUAGUGCGUCUUGUUGCGACGUGCGCCUCGGUGUGAUAAUUAUCUACGCUGUGGUGUGCUUGCUUCUGUGGAGACGCGCUUUCAAACCGUCCGAAAGGACAACUUUCAUCGAA
Molecule: unclassified non-coding RNA, 198 nt
Filed under: uncultured fungus
Lineage: Eukaryota; Fungi
Description: sequence contains ITS2
Source: RNAcentral